CCAAGACUUUUCAAACUUUUUUUUAAAGAAACGAAACUCUUUUUUAAAAAGAAAUCUAUGUAGAACUCCAAUACAGAAUAAAAAUGAAGCUGCCACUGGUUAGAUCAAAGUCAGAGGGAAUGUCACCAGCCUCUAAUGCCUUAAGCCAGCCUAAGGUGUCUCUAUGCAAUCUGUGAACACCACCACUCAUCUUAGAAAUGUGAUGGAAAGCAUGGUCAUUCAGUUCUCAUGUUGUUAAACUGAGGAAAUUACCAGCACUGUGAAGGAGAAAUUCUAAAUAAUGUCGCUAAUUUAAAGAAAGACAAAACUCAAGACCUCUUAUCACUUAGAAGAAUGAAAACAGCCGCUAUAAAGUAAAAAAACAAUGAACAAGAAUUAGGCCACAGUAGACAAAACAGAACGCAAAAAUUAACAUCUCAUUAAAAAGCAAAUACGAUUAAACAUAUUCACAUACAUGUAAUCACUACCAUGAAGUCAACUGCUCGACAGAUAUAAACUGCUCAAUACGAUAGCUGCUUCCAAAGAGCUGAGUCCCAGUUUCACACUGUCGAGAAGAACCCACCAUGAUGGCAGAGCCGUGGUCCACUAUGGAAGUCUGUGGGCGGCACUGCUUCACUUCACAUAGCAAUGCAGGAGUAACUGCCAGGACCUUCUACCGCUUUCAAAGUUGUUCUAUGCCCCUAGGACUGUUCCCUAACAUCACUACAGGUUUUAAGUGAACACCUCCAAAAGGCAGAGGUUCCACGGGUUAUCUCCAGUAGGUCUGGCAGUGGGACACAUACUUGAAUCACAAGAUGGGCUGUAGAAGCAGUAAUUAGCGGGCAGCAGGACAUCUGGAAGCAAGCAGCUAGGACAAUGGCAAAAAUCUGCCCAAGGCAGAUCUAAAGAAGGGGUUGUUAAAUUAAAUGGUAUUGAUGUGGUGCAAAUGACAAACUGUACAGCAAGGGCUCAAGGAGGAAGAAAUAUUAGUGAGAAUGACAGACAACGCAGUCUAUCACAGAGUAAGGCCACCUUCCACUGUUAGAAUCUGCAGAACCAUGCCGACCCUCCAGCGUGGAUCUGUGGAGAGGUGUUUAUAUAAAGCAUUCAUACCGAACGAGUUUCCUUUAAAAUAUCUUCGCGUUUGAUGUCAUUUUUGACAGGAAUGCCUCUCUUUCCUGGCUUUCCACAAAGCUUGCUCCUUCCUCCCAUCAAGCGUUAGCUCAAGCAUCACUUCCUUAGAGAAGCCGUCCCUCUGUUAUGUUCUAU
This 1248-nucleotide long non-coding RNA is filed under the name Equus asinus (donkey). Its description in RNAcentral is "lncRNA (ENSEASG00005025845.1)". The record is from RNAcentral. Lineage: Eukaryota; Metazoa; Chordata; Mammalia; Perissodactyla; Equidae.